This is an RNA transcript of Humulus lupulus (European hop), 1028 nucleotides long. RefSeq lists it as uncharacterized. NCBI's taxonomy places the organism in Eukaryota, Viridiplantae, Streptophyta, Magnoliopsida, Rosales, Cannabaceae. The record is from RefSeq and is a predicted model, not a curated record. The transcript has 6 exons.
UCGGUUACUGUGCAUUGUCUAUCAAUAAUUUUGUAUAUUAUUGAAUAUAUGCAAUAUAAAUAUAAAGAAAUGAUGAUGAUGAUAUAUAGGUCAAUGUGUGCCUUUAUGUUGCAAAAAGAAAUGGUGAAUCGUCAAUCAAGAAUUAUUAUUUUUCCAGGCGCGUUUCAGUUAAUGCACCUGCAAAAAGUUGUUAACACAAACGAAAAUACGGUGAAAUCGUAAAAUGGCGUGAAACUUAUCAUAUAUUUCUAGGUGCUUCAAGAGCGCUCUCAAAAGUUACAGAAUCCCAUAUACUCAGACCUGAAUAAACACGACCAAUUUCUUUAGAGAAAAACAAUUUCUUCUCCCACACUAUGAAACAUUCUCUAGCAAUCCAUAACCCUAAUAUCACCGUCAUCCUAAUCGCUGCCGGAGUAUCGCAUGAGCCGUCAUCAUCUCCGUCGUCGUUGCCGUCGCCACUGCCUCCAUUCAUUCUUUAUAUUCAUUACUAUCUUUUCUUCUCCGUGGUCGGACCUGAAGAUAAUCCAAGUGAGGUGCAUUUUGCGGUUUCACUCUUAGUCAUCAUGCCAAUUUGGUAUUGAACAUCAGAAGAUCUCAUUUGCCCUUCUGCUAUUGAAGGUCCUAUAAGUCCUAUAUAGAUGAUGGUGUGGAAAGUUAUCUUGAAGAGUCUUAAAUACUGGAGGUUUGGGGUCUUCUAAUCCUUCACCUUGCUGGUUGAUUCAAUUCUACCUUUCAACUAUUGCUCUUAUGCAGAGCAGCUAAAGGGCCAAACAGAGUUUUUAAGCAAAUUGUUGGAUGAGACUUUUUGGUAUAUAUAUGGUCCUACAAUAGACCCAGAAUGCGAACUAAACUUGUUUCUUAGUAUAGAAUGAAUUUGAGGCAGAGGAUGGCACUAAAUCAGAAUAAGAUAUGGAAGGUUGCUAAAGCCAUUCAAAGGGCAACCAGUGAAAUAUGUAAACUUAACAACUUGUAGAAAGUAAGUGUGUAACAUAUUUUGAUUCAAUCAUAUAUAUAUAUUAAUUUAUAUA